AUGACAUCAGGUUCAGGGAAGGGGGGGAGGGGCACCCAGCCACUGGCUUCAGCCAGCUGCAGCAGCUUUGCUGCCCUUCAAGUCGGAGGCACAGGGGCCUCGGGGGUCCGGAAGCUGGGGACAGGCAGCCUUUCAUCUCUGCUGGCCCAGGGUCGCUGCAGGUUGGCAGGCCCCACAUCCCGAGAUCGCGUUUCAGGCUGGAAGGGGCCUUCCUGUGACCUCAGAAGGCCAUUAGGAAUCUGCCAAGCGAGGCGUGGUCUUUUUCCUCUCUCUUGUUUCUUGGCUUGUUUUCCCGGUUCUCCAACAGCCGCCUCCUGCAAAAGCCUCCGGGUGCGUGUACAGGAACAUUUUUCUUUAAAAAAAAAAAAAAGAGAGAGAGAGAGAAAGAGAGAGAAAUGCAGCCACAGUUUGGGUAAAAAAGCAACCAGCUCCUUAAUCCUUCCCUGUAACCUCUGGCUCCUCAGCGGGGUUGGCUCCAGCCGCUGGGAAGCAAGGCCCUGCUGGGGUGAGAGGCCUGGGCUUGCUUCCCGCCCGCCCCCUCCUCACCCGCCUCUGUUCUCCUUCAGGGUUUGGUCUGACUUCUGGAGCCAGGAGGAGACAAGCUGCAGGGCUCAGCAGGGCUCAGACAGCAUGGGGGGGGCUGUGGCUGAAGAGGUUGGCCGGGCCUCUGCCCCUCUGCCCACUUGGCCACCUUCUAGGGAGGUUAUAGGAUCAGGAGUUUUCACCCCUAACCCGCUGCCUCUACUCCCGCUUUCAUUCCUUCAUGCUUCUGUCUUAGGAAUUACCAGUAUCUCCCCGGCAAGGACCCUGCAAAUUCCAUGAGCGCCCUCUCCCAGCUCCCUGCUUCACUGUCCAGCCCAGGGCUUGGCUUUCUUUUUUGUGAAAGCCAUACACGCUCAUGCUCCAGGCCUCUAUCCACUCAGACCCCUCCGAGGGGGUGGCACUCAAGGUCCCCGCAGUGUCUUGCUCUGUCUGCAGAACUCUUAAUUAUCCCUGGCGGCCCUGGCACCUGGGUCAGUGCUGGAACAUAGCUGGUAUGACUGUGGUGUGUCUUGAAUGAAUUCGAACCCUAAAAAGGUCUAUUCACAGUGAUCUUACGGGCCUCCCCAGCACCCUCGGGAAUCCAGUCCAAUCCUCCGUCUCUACCUUUUCCCAUUUGCAUGCUCUCAGCAAAGGAUUUCCCAUUUCCCCCAACAUGUCAUCUUUUCUCUUGCCUCUGGGCCUUUGUACUCCUGUGAACCCCCCUUCCCCCUGCCUGCAACACCCUUCUUCAGCAACUCUCACCCUCUGGCCUGUCACCCUGUCAGAUUACCCCAUGAGCAGAGCAAACAUGUAUUUAGGACACCAGCAAAGUGCAGGCAUGCAAACAUGACUUUUAUUUAUUUAUUUAUUUAUUUAUUUAUUGCUUUUUAGGGCCACCCCCGUGGAACAUGGAAGUUCCCAGGCUAGGGGUCGAAUGGGAGCAAUGCCAGAUCUGAGCUGCGCCUUCGACCUACCCCACAGCUCACAGCCACGCCAGAUCCUUAACGCAGGGAGUGAGGC
This 1542-nucleotide long non-coding RNA is filed under the name Sus scrofa (pig). RNAcentral describes it as "lncRNA (ENSSSCG00070014878.1)". The record is from RNAcentral. Lineage: Eukaryota; Metazoa; Chordata; Mammalia; Artiodactyla; Suidae.